CGCCGUCGAGGGCCUGGCCCGGGCGACCGGCGCGCCCCCGGACGGCGUGCGGCGGGCGGUGAUGCUGGCCGGGUCGCUCCCGGCGGUGGCGC
This 92-nucleotide transfer RNA is filed under the name Streptomyces fructofermentans. Its description in RNAcentral is "tRNA-Pro". Lineage: Bacteria; Bacillati; Actinomycetota; Actinomycetes; Kitasatosporales; Streptomycetaceae. The record is from RNAcentral.